AGGCUGGUGGGGGCGGUGUUGCUCCGGGCUGCGAUGCCCCUUAGGGUGCGGGCAACCAGAGGCCUCAGUCGUGGGCAGGGAGCAGGGGCGGACCCCGAGAGAUGGCUGAUUGUGGGGGUGGGGACCGUCUGCUCCUCCUAAUGGCUGGGGACCGUGCACGUCUGUGCGGGCCGGACCUGCUCUUCUCGGGAACUUGCGCGGGAGGAGGCCCGGAGCUGCGCCGCUUUACCCUCUGCUCCCCGGUGCCUAAAACGCACACGCAUCAAAGUCACAGGACGAGUUAGGGGAGAAAGGCAGAGGGAGAUUUGAAACACAGAGGAGGUGAUGAGAAGACACAGCAGAAGAUAUCUGAAGACUGGAAAGAAUGCUGCAACCAACAGGAGAAGGAAAAGACAGAAAUGUGUUUUCCAUUUGGAGCAUCCAGAGGGAGCACAACCAUAUCAACACCUUGAUUUUGAUCCAGUGACAUUGAUUUUGGACUUGUGGCCUCCAGAACUUUUAGAGAAUAAAUUUGCAUUGUUUUAAGCCAACAGGUUGUUGGAAAUUUUUUACAGCAGCCACAGGAAGCAAACACAGACUCCUAACUGGUGCUUAGUCCUAGAAUAUCAGUUUCUGCUCUACUUCUGGAUCUCAUAAUUGCAUCUCAAACAUCAACACUGACUUCAUAUUCUUAAUGCACCAAUUCUACCAUUUCUUCAGGCUGCAAACAGAGAAAAACUUAUUUAAGCAUUCCAGAAUUGACCAAAUAGAAGACUCUCCAGAAAAGACUGCAUGGUCUCUGAAGCAGCAUGAUCAGCAUGACUCGCUGCAUCUGGGCUCCACCGUUUGCCACUUCAGACAGGUCCUUAGCCUCUUGGAGGUUCAUUUUCCUUGCUGUAGCCCGGAGUAAGAAUGUUUAGCCUACAAGAUUUAUUUUGAGGCAUCAAUGAAUCACUAUGUGAGCCUCACACAGUGUCUGGCACUGACAUUACAAAAUAUGGUUGAUCUUGCCAUCCUUGUUAUUGUCCUGGUGGGGAUUCCUCUCUGUUGAAGAUACGGAGCCUCUAAAAAUGAGUGGCAGAGGCUCCCAGUUCAGGAUCCUUGUCCAGGUCCUAAAGAUCCUCCACUCUGCUUGUCACUCUGUUCAUUAUGUUUGCAUGGCCACCACGGCCAACACUACUGCGGCCUACCUCAAGUUCUCAUGCCUCACUCUCUGAGCUCAUGAGGACACAAGGAUCCUUUGGCAACACAUUAACUACACUCUGGCCAUCCCUUGACUUCUGAGAGGAUGUUUCCCUCCUGUCAAUCAAAAGCUCUCUUCCCUCCUGGGCAAGAUCCUUGCAUGCACCCAGCACCCUCACACCUGGUGCCCUCGCACCCAGCACCCUCUCACCUGGUGCCCUCACACCCAGCACCCUCUCACGUGGUGCCCUCACACCCAGCACCCUCACACCCAGCACCCUCACACCUGGUGCCCUCGCACCCAGCACCCUCACACGUGGUGCCCUCACACCCAGCACCCUCUCACCUGGUGCCCUCGCACCCAGCACCCUCACACCUGGUGCCCUCGCAACCAGCACCCUCACACCUGGUGCCCUCACACCCAGCACCCUCACACCUGGUGCCCUCACACCCAGCACCCUCACACCCAGCACUCUCACACUUGCACUGUCCUCAUCCCAACUCUGUGGUUCCUCUGGGGAAUCACUGUGGAAUCCCUCAUGGGAGGAUGUUUUCAAAAGAAACAAGAGCCCAAUGAAGGGUAUUUGAGGAUGAGAAGCAGGAAAGAAGUCAGUGGGUGGCUGAGUUGUGUCCAGGUUUUGCCUGGCCAUGGAAAAUCAGGUGAAGGACAUUAAAUAUCUUGCAGUGGCUUCUCCAUUAGGAGCAUGAAAUGAGGAAAGGGGCUGUCCUCACAGGCCAGCCAAGAGGGAUGUCUAUGCCAAACAGAAAGACUGACAGUAAACAAAAUCCAGAAUGACAUGACUGAGGUAUGGUGUGCAGGGCAUGGCCCAGGGAGGAGGGUAGAUAAGUAAGCCUGGGUGCACCUUCAGAGGAAGAAAUAACAGAGGCUGCAGGCGAGAGAGUUACAAGGAAGGAGGAGCAGGAAGACAUGAGAAAAAUUCAGAUAAACUCAACAUCUCCAGCCUGGGGGAAACGUGAGAGGGUGGUAUGAAGAUACACAUGAUGCAUGUUGCUUAGUGAAAGCAGCCAGUCGGAAAAGGCUACGUAGUGAAUGACCCCAACUAUGACAUUCUGAAAAAGGCAAAACUAUGGAGACAGGAUAAAGAUCAGUGGUUGCCAGUGAGGCAGGAGAAUAGGGUCUGGGGGCAGGGAGCCUAAGGCUGAUUCAUGCUGACUUCAUGAACCGAAUCAAAAGGAAAACCCUAAAUUUCCAUGCCCACGUAACAAAAGGAUCAGAGGCUACUCCCUUUGCAACUCCCCCCAACUUUCUGUGUUGCAGAUGAAAAAUGGAAAGUGCCUCGGAUUGGUCCCCUCCUGCAACCAGUCAGACAUCUGCAUAGAGCGUAACUUUGUAACUUCACUUCAGCCUCUGCUUGGUCACCUUCCACAACCAAUCAGACUGGUCAUGGGCCACUACUUCAUAGGGUGUAAACCAAGUGACCAAUGGGAAACAUCUAGAGGGUAUUUAAACCCCAGAAAAUUCUGCGACCAGUGCUUUUGAGCCUUGCUUGAGCCUGCUCCCACUCUGUGAAGUGCAUUUUUGUUUCAAUACAGCUAUGCUUUUGUUGCUUCUUU
Molecule: non-coding RNA, 2736 nt
Filed under: Pan troglodytes (chimpanzee)
Lineage: Eukaryota; Metazoa; Chordata; Mammalia; Primates; Hominidae
Source: RNAcentral